RNAcentral lists this ribosomal RNA (497 nucleotides) under uncultured bacterium. Its description in RNAcentral is "partial 16S ribosomal RNA". It matches the Rfam family "Bacterial small subunit ribosomal RNA", at positions 28 to 507 of the family's 1533-position model. The record is from RNAcentral.
GAUGAACGCUGGCGGCGUGCCUAAUACAUGCAAGUCGAGCGAACGGACGAGAAGCUUGCUUCUCUGAUGUUAGCGGCUGACGGGUGAGUAACACGUGGAUAACCUACCUAUAAGACUGGGAUAACUUCGGGAAACCGGAGCUAAUACCGGAUAAUAUUUUGAACCGCAUGGUUCAAAAGUUAAAGACGGUCUUGCUGUCACUUAUAGAUGGAUCCGCGCUGCAUUAGCUAGUUGGUAAGGUAACGGCUUACCAAGGCAACGAUGCAUAGCCGACCUGAGAGGGUGAUCGGCCACACUGGAACUGAGACACGGUCCAGACUCCUACGGGAGGCAGCAGUAGGGAAUAUUGCGCAAUGGGCGAAAGCCUGACGGAGCAACGCCGCGUGAGUGAAGAAGGUCUUCGGAUCGUAAAACCCUGUUAUUAGGGAAGAAAAUAUGUGGAAGUAAAUGUGGACAUCUUGACGGUACCCAAACAAAAAGCCACGGCUAACUACGUG